UGGGGAAUAUUGGGCAAUGGGCGAAAGCCUGACCCAGCAACGCCGCGUGAAGGAAGAAGGUUUUCGGAUUGUAAACUUCUUUUAUCAGGGACGAAGGAAGUGACGGUACCUGAUGAAUAAGCCACGGCUAACUACGUGCCAGCAGCCGCGGUAAUACGUAGGUGGCAAGCGUUGUCCGGAUUUACUGGGGUGUAAAGGGCGAGUAGGCGGGACGGAAAGUCAGUAGUGAAAUACCGAGGCUUAACUUCGGGGCUGCUAUUGAAACUUCUGUUCUUGAGUGAUGGAGAGGCAGGCGGAAUUCCCGGUGUAGCGGUGAAAUGCGUAGAGAUCGGGAGGAACACCAGUGGCGAAGGCGGCCUGCUGGACAUUAACUGACGCU
Molecule: ribosomal RNA, 379 nt
Filed under: uncultured Oscillospiraceae bacterium
Lineage: Bacteria; Bacillati; Bacillota; Clostridia; Eubacteriales; Oscillospiraceae
Description: bacterial SSU rRNA
Rfam family: Bacterial small subunit ribosomal RNA
Source: RNAcentral